Molecule: unclassified non-coding RNA, 302 nt
Filed under: plant metagenome
Description: partial contains 5.8S ribosomal RNA, internal transcribed spacer 2, and large subunit ribosomal RNA
Rfam family: 5.8S ribosomal RNA (bases 1-105)
Source: RNAcentral
GAGAUGCGAUAAGUAGUGUGAAUCGCAGAAUUCAGUGAAUCAUCGAAUCUUUGAACGCACAUUGCGCCCUUUGGUAUUCCUUAGAGCAUGCCUGUUCGAGCGUCAUUUAAACCUUCAAGCUCAGCUUGGUGAUGGGUGACUGUCCUCCCCUCGCGGGGGGACUCGCCUCAAAAACAUUGGCGGCCGGUACAUUGGCUUCGAGCGCAGCAGAAACGCGGUCUCGAGUCCUGUGGAUCGGCUCCCAUGAACCUCUUCUUUUAUUUUGACCUCGGAUCAGGUAGGGAUACCCGCUGAACUUAAGC